CUCUCUUUUAUCAUUAUUUAUAUCCACGGUUUAACAUUAACUAAUUUAAUAUCAAUUAAAUAAAGGGAACCAAGAGCCAGUCAUGAUUGACCCUGUUUGCCGCCUUUCCCACAAGGAUCAGCUCAGCCAUUUCUCUCUAAGAAAUGUGUCUAAAAACGUAAUUUCCUUCUGAAAAAAAAUGUAUUCACAAUAACAGGGACUGCAAGGAUUGCGAGAUCCCCAAGAAAGAAGUGUACACCCUGCUGAAAUUCAAAGCUGAAGUUGCCUUUGCAACGAGAGGAAAGUCUUGAAAAAGAGGGGGAGACCAUCUCAUAAUGUUGACAGAAACCUGGCUGAGAAGAAGCACAGAGGUUCUUCCUCAUCAGUGCCAUAAACACCUGUGCAUCAAGACCACACUUACCAUUGGCCUGUGCGGGUGGAGAAAAAGGGCCGGUGCAAAUACCAUGGCUGUAAGGGUGAAAGUGCAGUGAUCAAAGUGUGUCACGUACCUGUGCUUCACUCCUGACAAUAACUGCUUCAUGAACUUCCACAAGCACUGAGUCUAUUUUGUCAAAUGGCUCAAUAAAGUUUGCUGAAAGAU
Long non-coding RNA from Notothenia coriiceps (black rockcod), 580 nucleotides. RefSeq lists it as uncharacterized. The record is from RefSeq and is a predicted model, not a curated record. The transcript is spliced from 3 exons. Lineage: Eukaryota; Metazoa; Chordata; Actinopteri; Perciformes; Nototheniidae.